Molecule: unclassified non-coding RNA, 329 nt
Filed under: soil metagenome
Description: partial contains 5.8S ribosomal RNA, internal transcribed spacer 2, and large subunit ribosomal RNA
Rfam family: 5.8S ribosomal RNA (bases 1-121)
Source: RNAcentral
GAUGAAGAACGCAGCGAAUUGCGAUAAGUAAUGUGAAUUGCAGAUUUUCAGUGAAUCAUCGAAUCUUUGAACGCACCUUGCGCUCCUUGGUAUUCCGAGGAGCAUGCCUGUUCGAGCGUCAUUACAACCCUCAAGCUCUGCUUGGUAUUGGGCUCUGCCGGUCCCGGCAGGCUUAAAAUCAGUGGCGGCGCCACUCGGCUUCAAGCGUAGUAAUUCUUCUCGCUUCGGAGACCCGGGUGCGUGCUAGCCAGCAACCCCCAACUUUCUCAGGUUGACCUCGGAUCAGGUAGGGAUACCCGCUGAACUUAAGCAUAUCAAUAAGCGGAGGA